Molecule: unclassified non-coding RNA, 1143 nt
Filed under: Hevea brasiliensis (rubber tree)
Lineage: Eukaryota; Viridiplantae; Streptophyta; Magnoliopsida; Malpighiales; Euphorbiaceae
Source: RNAcentral
GGUAGCAAUAAUAUUAAAAGCUUUAGUCAGAGAUCAAACAUACAUAAUGUGUUCAUGCACUAUUCCAGUGCAGUGAAACAAACUCAUCUGGACCAUUUUGGACUAGGUUUAUAUUUACACUGCAAUAUAACACGAGUAAACGAAAAAAUAGUUGGCCAAAAAAAAGUGGUCGAUUGGCCAUAUGAAGAUCUACAAAUAUAUAGGGACAAACAUUUACGAAAUGAAAACAGAAGACAUGUAUGAUGAGAUUGAGAUUGCUACUUUGUUUCUGCAAGAAAAUGCUCACUCAUCAAUAUCACCAUUAUUAAUCCUUAUCUCUAAGAGUUCUUCAAAUGGUUGUCGACAAAUUGGGCAUCGGUUUGACUGAAGUCUCAAUGUGUUUGCACAUCCACUGCACAUGCACAUAUGGCGGCAUGGAAGAACUGCAGUAUCUUUGGGUUCCGUCAUGCAUAUUACACACUCCUUGCCUGAGCCAUUGUUCUCAUAAUCUGGGCCAGAGUUUCCAAUUCCAUAUAUCUCAUGCAGCUCAUAGCGAACAUUAUCAACCCAUAAAAUCUGCCUGAUUAUUCUCACUUUGAAAGUCCCUUCAUGAUCCUUCUCCAAUACAGCUUGACUAAUUUGCAUAUGGAGGGACGUUUUAGGUUGAGUAUCACUAAUAUGAUCCUCUGUUAAAACAGAUGGAAGGCAGGUUGUAGCAGUUAUUACAAGGGGAAACACACUGUCUUCUGAUGAUAGUUCGGAGAGAUCGUCCAUUUCAAAGAAACUCAAGUCAAUGCCUGUCCCAAAAGGCUGACGAAAUUUCUGUCCAAGUCCUCUCUGGAAAGGAACUGUUAUAGGUACAUGGACAUGGGGGUAUAUUGGAACAAAUCUGCAAUGAGGCUCUUCCUUGACAAAAUAAAACACUGUGAUGUUUCCAUCAAAGAGAGCAUCAAAGACAAAAGAAACCAAAUAAUGAUCUGGGUUUUGCUCAUCAAUCUCAAGCUUUAACGAAUCUUUAUGAACAUUAACACCACUCUUAACUUUCUUAGCUUGUUGGGUCUCAACAUAAGGUGAUGGGGUCACCAUCCCCACUACCUGAUGAUGAGGAGGAGGAGGUAGGUAAGAAGCAGACCAAUCAUUGUUCUGAUAUGGAGUAAAAACAGA